This 10098-nucleotide long non-coding RNA is filed under the name Citrus x clementina. RNAcentral's name for it is "Citrus clementina (C. clementina) long non-coding RNA (CCLE_LNC001764)". The record is from RNAcentral. Lineage: Eukaryota; Viridiplantae; Streptophyta; Magnoliopsida; Sapindales; Rutaceae.
ACCAUGUCUGCCUGAUUUACAAAAAAUUUCAAAAUUGAAAUUUUGUAUUUGAGCCUAACAAAGCAAAUUGUAAAAGCUUGCUAAUUAAUUCAAUUUUACAAAUAUUUGAAUUUAUUUAGUUUUAUACCUAAUGUAUGCAAUUGUAUCAACUAUCCACUAAAAAGAUUUAAUUACCCUUAUAAAAUGAUAAAGUAAAAGCAAACACAAAUUAUAGUUAUAGUGGCAAACACAAAUUAUAGUUAUAGUUAUUUUGUAAAGAUAAUUUUGUCUUCUUGGGGGGCAAUGAUUACACAUUGGAAUCAAUGGGUCGAAAAUCAAACAAAUUCAAACUUUUAAAGUAUUUUAAUAAUAGAAUAAAAUUAAGGUGGAUGGUUGAUAAUUUCCCUUCCAUCUAUUUGACAAAAAGCAAAGCCAAACAUUCACGAGUUUCAAGUUGCAACCUUUUCAAAUUCUCCAACAACCUAUGCCUGAUCCAACUGUUAGAAAUUCAAACAUAAUGUAUAUUUAUAUUGUACAUGCAUGAACAAUGAACAUAACAAAACAUGAACACUAAAUGGAUUUGAUUUUUUGUUCAUGAAUUCAAUUAUGUAUUGUUAUGUCAUAAUUAUCUCAUAUCUCAUUAAUUCAAAUCCAUUGAAUGGAUUUGUUUUUAGGUACAUAAAUUAUGUUCAGUCUAUUAUUUAUAGAGUUGGCAUUUUAUGGCAAGUCUAGUUAAAUUGGAAGUUUAUUUAUUGCAUAUCUUGUAAUAGGGAUUAAUUUAUUAAUUCCCUAAUUUAGUGAGAUUCUAAUUUAUUAGGAAUAUUUGUUUCCUAAUUUAAUUAUAUGUCUAUUUUAGCAAUUCAAUUAAUGGUUGGAUUCUAUAAUUGACUCAUGACAUCUAUUUAGAGUAAGAAGUUGUUUCAAACAUGAAGUCAUUAAAUGCUCUAGAUAUUUCUUAGGAGACAAGUAAGGUAAAAAUAUCAGAUUUAAUCCUAUUCAGAUUCAUGGGAAUUAUAAGAGCAAAAAACUCUUAUUUGCAAAGAAUUCAAGUCUUUUAAGACUUGCUAUUUUGGUGAAACCCUAGUGCCUAUAUAAAGAGAGGUAUUUCAAAAUUGAAGGGUGAUCGCACAACACAGAGCGUAAAGCAAAAAAGCAAAAUUCGGCCUCCUCCCUAGAGAAUCCGGAUUUGGCGCAUAAUGUUGUGUUGAUUUUUUUCUUAUCUUCUUUUCAUCUCUGUGGAGAGUUUAUGUGGAUCUUGGAUCACUAAACAUUGAAGAAUUGAAUAAUUGCUAUUGAUCACUUUGCGAAGUGCCUUGAGGAUCGUGGAUCAAGAGAGGUAGCAAUUAUUCAAGAGAAGCAGAUUCAUUCUAAGGUUGAGUAACCUAUAAGUGAGAGUCGUAAGUUCGGUAAAUCUAUAGGUUGUAACAUCUCAACUUAGUGAAUUACUUUUCAUCUGGGUGUGGCCUCGUGGAUGUAGGAUUGAUUAAUCUGAACCACAUAAAAAUCUUCGUGUCAUUUAUUUUCUACACUUUAUUGUGUUUUUGGAAAAUUAAUAUUUUUUAUGCGGAUGAACAGUAACCGUGAACAGUUGCAGUAAACAGUAAAGGUGAACAGUACUUUAGAAAAAUUAAUUAAGUAAUUAAUUUUUUAUUUUUUAAUUGCCUACAUCUAUUUUUUAUAGAUCUAAAUUCCUUUCAAUUGGUAUCAGAGAGGGACACUAACUAUUUAUUUAGUGAGAUUCUUGGAACCUAGAUCUAUUUUGUAGGUAUGAGUUUGCAAAGAGAGAGAGGCUCUUUGGCUCGUCCACCUGCACUAGAUGGGACGAAUUAUGCUCAUUGGAAGCAAAGGAUGGAAAUUUAUCUGACAGCUAUUGAUGAAAGAGUUUGGCAAUGCAUACUCACAGGAUAUACUCCACCUAUCAAAAUUGGUGAAGAUGGUGUAGAAUUUCUCAAGCCAGUCAAAGAAUGGACUAAUGAUGAACUUGAUACGUCUGGAUAUAAUGCAAAAGAGCUUAAUGCCAUUGUUAAUGGAGUUGAUGUGUUUCAAAACCAACUAAUUUCUACAUGCAAGACAUCCAAAACUGCUUAGGAUAUACUCCAGAGUACUUUUGAAGACGACAAUACGGUAAAACGUUCUAAACUUAAAAAACUUACAUCUGAUUUUGAAAAUCUGAAAAUGCAUGAACAUAAAACCAUAUAUGAAUUUAAUUCUAGAAUCCUUGCUUGGUUAAUAAUUUUUUUGCUCUUGGAAAACCUAUUUCUGAGGAAGAAAUUUGUUGAAAAAUUUUAAGAUCUGUCCAUCCUAGAUAUUAUCCUAAAAUUUUGGCCAUUGAAGAAUAUGCUGAUAUGUCUGCUAUGAUUAGGGGUUCACUUAUAGGAAAAUUGAUGGUCUAUGAGACUAACUACUUGAAUUUGGAUCCCAAGAAAGGAAAAUGUAUUGCUUUUCAGGUUGAAACGGAGGCUCCCGUCACCAAAUCAAGUGAAGAUGAUUAUCCAUUUUUGUACGUGGAUAAUUCUCUUGCACUCAUUGCAAAGAAUUUCAAGAAGAUGUUGAAAAAGAAGAACUUCAACAAACUAAAGAAAACAUCAACAUUAGUGGCUCCUAAGGUUCAAAAAGGUUCUUCUAACUCUAAUUCUAAAUUGUUUGAUUUCAACAAACUUAAGGGUAUCCGAUGCAGAGAAUGCGGAGGCAUAGGACACAUAUAAGCAUAAUGUGCCAACACUCUUAUGAAAAAGAAAGCAAUGCAAUCCACUUGGAGUGAUGAUAAUUCUAACGAUAGCAUCGAUGAAGAAGACCUUGUUAGAGGACUUGUUGUCCAUAAUGAUGGCAGUAAACAGGAAUCAAACAUCAUAAAUGCAUCCACAUCUGAAGCCUCUCACUUAGCUCCUUGUAAAGAAGACAUUGAUUCUCAUCUUGACACAAUUGUGCAACAUGUUAACCAGAAUAAUAAUUCAGAUAGCGACGUCAGUGACAUUGAUAUAAAUGACAAGAAAGCAUUUCAUGAAAGCUACAAGAUGAUGUUCGCUAAAUAGGAAGAAGUCUAUAAUGAGAAUGUGACCUUGAUGACUCAAGUAUCCAAUCUUUUAGAUGAUAAGGCGAAACUUGAGAGUGAAGUAAUUCAUUACAAGUCUUUACUUACUGACAAAGAUAACCAAUUGCUUGCAGUGACAACAGAAUUAGAGAAUACCAAAAAGUCACUUAAGAUGAUAAGUUCUGGAACUCAAAAGUUAAACCAUAUCUUGUCACUUGGCAAAUCUAGCUCAGAUCAUCAUGGUCUUGGAUAUCAACAUAGUAAAGACUCGAAUUCUCAAAGUGUGUUUGUUAAAGCUUCUUCACAAACAGCUUCUCCACCUAUAGUGAAACUUCUAUAUCUUCAAAAAGAUAAAGUUGUUGCACAUUCUUCACCAGUUCAUCAAGGUAAGAACAACAAGUUUAUUCAUACUUGUCAUUUUUGUCACGUGAAAGGGCAUAUAAGACCUAAUUGCUUCAAGCUCAUUAAAUAUAUGAAAAAGGUUAUGUUCUUUAAUUAUACCCAUGGAAAACCUAGGAUGACACCUAGACCUAAGGUUGAGACAAGUGAAAAUAAACCUAGAACUACUUGGAUAAGGAAGACUGAUUAUAAAGCUUAUGUUUUCUUUAUUUCCUUGAGAACUUUUACUACUGAUUUUUGGUAUUUUGAUAGUGGUUGUUCUAGACACAUGAUAGGUGAUAAAAGUGUCUUGGCCAAUUAUAAAAAACUUGAUCGAGAAAAUGUAACCUUUACUGAUGGUGUGAAAAGUCGAGUGCUCGGAAAGGGAACUUUAAAUGUGGAAGGGUUUCCAAAACUUGACAAUGUUCUGCAUGUGGAGGAUGUCAAAGCAAAAUUUACUCAGCAUUAGUCAAAUUUGUGAUCAAAACUUAUUUGUCAACUUUGACAGGAACAAAUGUCACGUUCUUGAUGUUGAUGGAAAUUGCAUUUUGGAAGGACAUCGAUCAUCUGAUCAUUAUUAUAAAUUGACUAGCUCAAUUGUGUGUCAUAAGACCACUCUUGAUGACACAGAAUUGUGGCAUCAAAACUUGGGUCACUUGAACUACAGAUUACUGACUAGAAUUAUGAAAACAGGUGCUAUAAAAGGAGUUCCAAUGCUUAAAAAGAAACAACCUGGAAUAUGUGGCUCAUGUCAAUCUAGAAAACAAAAAAGGGCAUCGCAUAAAGCCAUUCAGGAUAAAGCAACAUCAAAGGUGCUACAACUACUUCAUAUGGAUCUUAUGAGACUAAUGCAAGUUGAACGUUUGGCUAGGAAAAGUUACUCCUGAAGUUCGAGUUAUUAAGAAAAGUCAGUCUAGUGAACCUCCUUUGAAAGAAAAAGAACUUGUUGAAGAAGACACCUCUAAGGAAACACCAGAGAUUAUGAAGGAGAAAUUUUCAAAACUCCAGGCAAUCAUGUACCUGUAGGACCCAAUCAGAAAGGAACCAUCAUCAAGAGUUAAGAAAAAUCACCCAUCUGAGCUUAUUCUAGGUAAUAUUGAUGAACAAAUGGUCACAAGGAAAAGGUAUGCAAAUAUAGUAAGAUUUACUUACUUUGUAUCUUUUAUUGAACCUAAGGAUCUUAAUGAAGCUUUAGUUGAUAAAUUUUGGGUCAAAGCUAUGCAAGAAGAAUUAGAACAAUUCGAGAGAAAUGAUGUUUGGAUGCUAGUACCUAUACCAAGUCACACUAAUGUUAUAGGAACCAAAUGAAUUUUUAAGAACAAAACUGAUGAAUUUGGUAACAUAGUGAGAAAUAAAGCUAGGUUGGUUGCACAAGGCUACACGCAAAUUGAAGGUGUUGACUUUGAUGAAACCUUUGCACCUGUUGCUAGAAUCGAAUCUAUUCGUUUGCUUUUUGCAGUUACUUGUUUAAUAGGCUUUAAAUUAUUUCAAAUGGAUGUUAAGAGUGCCUUUUUGAAUGGCAUCUUAAAUGAAGAAGCAUAUGUUGAACAAUCUAAAGGUUUUGAAGAUCCUUAUUUCCGAAAUCAUGUUUUCAAAUUGAAAAAGGCUUUAUAUGGUUUAAAGAAGACUCCUCGAGCUUGGUAUGAAAGGUUGACAAAAUUUUUGCUUGAAAAUAGUUAUAAGCGAGGGGGAGUAGAUAAAACACUAUUUAUUAAGCAACUCAAUCCAGGGAUUUUAGUUAUUCAAGUCUAUGUUGAUGAUAUAGUGUUUGGUUCUACUUCUUCUGAUCAUGUGCAAGAAUUUGUGAGUCAAAUGAAAAGGGAAUUUGAGAUGAGUAUGGUGGGAGUAUUGACUUACUUUUUGGGUUUACAAGUGAAAAAAAUGGAGAAUGGAAUUUUUGUUAAUCAAAGUAAGUAUGCAAAGAGUUUAGUCAAGAGGUUUGGUUUAGAUUCUGCAAAACACUUGAGAACCCCUAUGAGUACUAAUGCCAAGUUUAUUGUUGAUGAUAGUGGUUCUAGUGUUGAUCCUAGUCUUUACAGAAGCAUGAUUGGUAGCUUACUUUAUUUGACUGCAACUAGACCGGAUAUAUGUUUCAGUGUUGGUGUGUGUGCUAGGUACCAAGCAAAUCCAAAGGAAUCACACUUAACUACUGUCAAACGAAUCAUUCGUUUUGUUACUAGAACAGUUAAUGAUGGUAUUUGGUACACUAAUGACACUAAUUCAAGUCUUGCAGGAUAUAGUGAUGCAGAUUGGGCUGGUAAUGCUGAUGAUAGAAAAAGCACCACUGGAGGAUGCUUUUAUCUUGGAAAUAACUUAGUAUCGUGGCAUAGUAGGAAACAGAAUUCAAUUUCUCUUUUCACAGUUGAAGCAGAAUAUAUUGCAGCUGGAAGUUGUUGCACCAAAUUGCUCUGGAUGAAACAAAUGCUUGCAGAUUAUGGUAUAGUUCAGGAUAUUUUGACUGUGUUUUGUGAUAACACGAGUGCUAUCAAUAUUUCUAAAAAUCUUGUUCAACACUCUAGGACAAAGCAUAUUGACAUUCGUCAUCACUUCAUUAGAGAUUUAGUUGAGAGUAAGACCGUAUCCUUAGAAUACAUUGAUACAGAAAAAUAGCUUGCAGAUAUUUUCACAAAAGCUUUAGACUUCAAACGAUUUGAAUCUUUAAGGAAAGCUUUAGGUGUGCGUUUCAUCUAAUUCAAAUUUUUUUCAUGCAUUUGUGCAUUAGAUAUAGGUCAUGCAUUUAUAAAUUUCAAUUUUAAAUCAUUGUUUUUGUGUUCCAUUUUCUUGAUGACAAGCAAUUUUUCAUGUUUUUUAAAGAUUUGAAAGUCUUGAAUAAGUUUUGACUAGAGUUAUUUAACUUUUCUUCAAAAGCACAUAAAUGACAAUUCAGUCUCUACUUUGACUCAAGGUUUUGAUAUUGACAUGGUCCUUGUUGAGAAUAUUUGACUUGAGUUAUGACUAUUUGCCUUGAAUCUUAUCUUGUCAUAAGACCUCAAGUAUAUGCAGACACUAUGGUCAGAAAUAGAUACCUAUAACUCUUAAGAGUGAAGAUAUCCUUGAGUAAUCUGAGUCUGCGUAUCACAAAUAUGACAGAGGACGAACUACCAUGAGAAGAAGGCUAUCCUUAGAGUGAAAGCUCCUGACCAUAAAUUUUAAAAAAAAAAAGAAUGAAAGGCUUUGCAAGCACAAAAAAAAAAAGAAGUAUGUCAAUUGAAAUGGUCAAAAAUUGAAGAUCAAGAUGAUAAGGUUAGUUUGACCAACUCUAUGUUUUAUAUUUAAGACUUUGACUGUGAAAAUUGAUGAAUUUUUGGGAAAAAUGUUUAGAUUGAGUGGUUUGCACACACACACAAGCUUAAAUUUCUCUAAUCUUUACUUAAUUGAGGCAAUUAGAAUCUUGAUUAUAUGAAUCAAACAUUUUUUUUGUUCAAUUUCAUUAUUAAUGCAAUUUUUAAAACAAAAAAAAAAUUCACGUUGCAUGUGCAUUCUCAUUUUCUUACAUAAUGAUAUGUUUUUAAGUCUGAAGAGUCAAAUAUUUUUUUUUUAACCAAAACUCAAAAGUUUUUUAAAGUGCAUUGACAAGGUUUUCCCAUCACAACUGAGCAUGUUGCGAUCUUUUGGUCAUAACUUUGUCUACAGAACUCCAAAUUUGAUUUUGUAAAAUCUUGGAAAAGCUAAUUCAAUAAGCUUUCCAACAGUAUAUAGAUCGCAUUAUGAUUCUGCCUCAUUCAUUCCCAGUUAAUUUUGAAGUUCUCUGUUCUACAAUGUCUGUUUGUUUCAUAAAGUAUCUGCAUGGGAUUUCGUUUUGAUAUUUUUCUCUUUGUUUCUGACUUGUUUGAGUCGGUUUAUGUUUAGUUACUGAUUUGGAACGAAAUCUAUGAUGAUUUGUGCAUUAAAUUGGAAUACAAUCCGCUUUAUUAAUGUUUUUCUUAUGUUAGUUGGAUUUCCAAACCUUACUUGAACAAGUCAAGUUCUUCUAUAUAAGGCAACCCUUAGAUCCUUGUUCUGCAUUCAAAUUUGUGGCUUCUUUCUCCCUUCUUUCGGUUGGUCUAGAUUUUGUUCAUUCUUCUUGUUUAAAUUUUUCUCCCUUGUUCUUAAUAUUCCUCUUCCAUCGCUUCUAAGCUUAACAUUGGUGAGAGCUCUCAUGCUAACUCUAAUCCCGAGCGGCAUCCCACUCUUACACUUUUCAUUUGUUUUGGUUGUGGACGACCUCAUGAAAUUCAUAUACUUGAUGAUGAUGAGGAUUUUGGUCCCAAAUUUGGACAAAUACCUCCUGAAGAAUCCAUGCAUUCAAGUGACAGCGACUCCAUGGAAAGUGACCCUAAUGAAGAUAGUUUUCACUCUGGCCCUUCCUUCUUUGACCCUAGGAUCACCACCAAUGCCACCAUUGUUCAUGUUGCCAUUACCGACCACCAGUCGCCGCCACACGCGCCCUCACACGCCGUCACCAAUGGAACUCCUCCUAGUACUCUUCAUGAUCUUCCUACUUUUGUUGCAGCCUCUGUUUGCUCUUCUCCUCCACCUGCCUCUUUUGCUCAUAAUCUUGAGGCCACCAUUUUGAAACAAGGGCAAGAUAUUGCUAAUCUUUCUACUCGUUUGGCCAAAUUGCAUGCAAAACUACUUCCCUUUUGUAAUCUUUUGGCAAAAGAGAGAGAGUAAUUUGUUUCAAGUCUUCAAUUGCUCAAUGCAAUGAGUUAGAGGGAGUAGUAUUUUCCAUUCUAGGGAGAGUUUUUAUGCAAGAAUUUUAAUUUUUUGGAUUCUAGUUCUUAGGGGGAGUUUAUGUUUUUAUUGCUCUUAAUUUUCUGCUUAAUGUUGUCUUUCCAUUUAUUGAUCAAUAAAAUUAGCAUUUUAUUUUAAUUCUUGCCUUGGUUUAUUUUCAUGAACUAACAUGCUAAUUGUCAAUUAUUUUGGUUAGUUCCUUGUUGUUUUUAUACUUGUCCAGAUUUAUAUCUUAGCGCCAAAGUUCAUGGAAGACUUGUGUUAGUUGCUUUUGCCACAAGAAUGCCAAAGGGGGAGAUUGUUAAGUCCAUUAUUUAUAGAAUUGGUAUUUUAUGGCAAGUCUAGUUAAAUUGGAAGUUUAUUUAUUGCAUAUCUUGUAAUAGGGAUUAAUUUAUUAAUUCCCUAAUUUAGUGAGAUUCCGAUUUAUUAGGAAUAUUUGUUUCCUAAUUUAAUUAUAUGUCUAUUUUAGCAAUUCAAUUAAUGGUGGGAUUCUAUAAUUGGCGCAUGAGAUCUAUUUAGAGUAAGAAGUUGGUUCAAACAGGAAUUCAUUAAAUGCUCUAGAUAUUUCUUAGGAGACAAGGCAAGAAGAUCAUAUUUAAUCAUAUUUAGAUUCAUGGGAAUUAUAAGAGGAAAGAAACUCUUAUUUGGAAAGAAUCCAAGUCUUUUAAGACUUGUUAUUUUGGUGAAACCCUAGUGCUUAUAUAAAGAGAGGUAUUUCAAAAUUGAAGGGUGAUCGCACAACACAGAGCGUAAAGCAAAGAAGCAAAAUUCGGCCUCUUCCCUAGAGAAUCCGGAUUUGGCGCAUAAUGUUGUGUUGAUUUGUUUUCUUAUCUUCUUUUCAUUUCUGUGGAGAGUCUAUGUGGAUCUUGGAUCACUAGACAUUGAAGAAUUGAAGAAUUGCUAUUGAUCACUUUACGAAGUGCCUUGAGGAUCGUGUAUCAAGAGAGGUAGUAAUUAUUCAAGAGAACCAGAUCAAUUCUAAGGUUGAGUAAACUGUAUGGUGAUAUAUUGUAAGUGAGAGUCUUAAGUUUGGUAAAUCCAUAGGUUGUAACAUCUCAACUUAGUAAAUUACUUUUCAUCUGGGUGUGGCCUCGUAGAUGUAGGAUUGAUUAAUCUGAACCACGUAAAAAUCUUCGUGUCAUUUAUUUUCUUCAUUUUAUUGUGUUUUUGGAAAAUUAAUAUUUUUUAUGCGGAUGAACAGUAUACGUGACCAGUAACUAUGAACAGUACGGUGAAUAGUACAAUGAACAGUACUUCCGAAAAAAUUAAUUAAGUAAUUAAUUUUUGAUUUUUUAACUGCCUACAUCUAUUUUUGAUUGAUCUAAAUUCCUUUCAAAUUUAAUCUUAUGAUUUAUGAUUGAUAAAUUGUGUUGUAUAGUGCUAGUAUGUUUAUUAAUCAUAUCAUAUUUUUGUUAGCCUAAAGGGCUACACAUAAUGUAAUUUUGAUGACAACAAAUAUGUGUCUUAAGUGAUUUAAUAAAUAUUGUAUUUCACAUUUUCACUAGUUCUUGAAGGAUAAUAUUUAUGAUGAAGUGAACCACGUGAAAUUAAGUUCAAGACAUUCAACAAACAACAGCACAAUCAAGAAUAAAGUUUAGAGUUCAACAGACUCAUUAUUGCGACAAUUCUUGUAAAGCCGAUAUGAUUUAAUACAUGAAUGAUUUAGCAUUUAAGAAACUCAAGAUUUUAUUUAAUAAAUCAUUAUUUUUCAUAAACAAGCGAAGUAUUUUAUGAAAUUAGCUGUUUUUCAGGAUGUGGACUAAAAUGAAAAAGUUUUGUCAUCUUUGAUUUUAAUAAGUAUUGUUUUAAAUUCUAGAUUUGAAUCUAUUUGCAAAUAUUUCAAACAUUUUAGGCCAUACUAUGAUUUAUUAAAGUUUGAGGACCCCAGUGUAAAUAUCCAAAAUGGACAGAGAGUUAGCGGCUAACCGCCUGAGGGCUAGUACCUAGCCACCUGAGGAAAAUCUCAUAUUUUCAAAUUUUGGACUUAAUUGAAAGGU